GAGCGUUAUCCGGAUUUAUUGGGCGUAAAGCGAGCGCAGGCGGUUAGAUAAGUCUGAAGUUAAAGGCUGUGGCUUAACCAUAGUACGCUUUGGAAACUGUUUAACUUGAGUGCAGAAGGGGAGAGUGGAAUUCCAUGUGUAGCGGUGAAAUGCGUAGAUAUAUGGAAGAACACCGGUGGCGAAAGCGGCUCUCUGGUCUGUAACUGACGCUGAGGCUCGAAAGCGUGGGGAGCAAACAGGAUUAGAUACCCUGGUAGUCAAGGGCGAAUUCGC
This 273-nucleotide ribosomal RNA is filed under the name uncultured Streptococcaceae bacterium. Its description in RNAcentral is "partial 16S ribosomal RNA". It matches the Rfam family "Bacterial small subunit ribosomal RNA", at positions 536 to 809 of the family's 1533-position model. The record is from RNAcentral. Lineage: Bacteria; Bacillati; Bacillota; Bacilli; Lactobacillales; Streptococcaceae.